CAAUAGCGUAUAUUAAAGUUGUUGCGGUAAAAAAGCUCGUAGUUGGAUUUCUGUUGAGAGCGACCGGUCCAUACCAUGUAUGCGUAUCUGGCUUGCUCUCGGCUUCCUCUCGAUAGACGUUACUGCGCUUGAUUGCGUGGUGCGGAUCUCGGGACUUUUACUUUGAGGAAAUUAGAGUGUUCACGGCAGGCUUUCGCCAGAAUACAUUAGCAUGGAAUAAUACUAUAGGAUCUUGGUUCUAUUUUGUUGGUUUCUAGAAUUGAGAUAAUGAUUAAUAGGGACAAUUGGGGGCAUUCGUAUCAACACGUCAGAGGUGGAAUUCUUGGAUUGUGUUGCGACGAACUACUGCGAAAGCAUUUGCCAAGGAUGUUUUCAUUGA
This 379-nucleotide ribosomal RNA is filed under the name uncultured eukaryote. RNAcentral's name for it is "partial 18S ribosomal RNA". It matches the Rfam family "Eukaryotic small subunit ribosomal RNA", at positions 592 to 976 of the family's 1831-position model. The record is from RNAcentral.